CUUGCAAUGUUCGGCCAAGAAUUGUAGCGGUGCCUCAGGAUCAGUAUUUUGUUCACCUCCAAGAAGUUCCAUUGCUUCAUCCUCAUUAGCAAAGCAGAGGUCUAUGUCCCCUGACUCUAGCAAUUGAAGGAGAGGUGGUCUGAAGUCUCGAACCAUCUCAAAACUGGCCAAAUCCAAUGAGACAUAAAGACCCUCCUGCUUUGCAAUCUGAAUUGCUUCUUGAAUAACUUCUAUAUUGAAUUUUCCAUAUCUUAUUACCAGCCACUUGGAGCCCUUAAAAUCUUCCUUGGUCAAUUCAUCAGCCUGAACUUUCACAGCACUUGACAGGCAAGGUCGCAUUGUACGAUUGCCCAAUGCAUCAACCAAACAAACACACUGACCCGUCGGUCCCUUCUUCCUCCUCAAUUUCGAGAUGUUCACCCCACUAAAGCCCAUAUUACUAGCAAACAACUGGCCUUCCUCAUCAUCCCCAUAAGCCCCAAUAAUCCCACAAGAGACUCCAAAGUUUGCACUAAGACCCCGAAUGGUAUUGGCUACACUGCCCCCAGCAAUUGUUAACAUAGGAGAUGUCUCACCAGGGGAAGUAAGCAUAUGAGUUUUAACCUCUCCUAAAAUUUGCUGAAGGUCUUGAAUUGCAACGGGUAUGGAGCCACCGGGUUCACCGGGGACUUGAUGCAGCAAGGACAAAUCAACACGGGCCACAUGGUCUAUGAGAGCAGCAGGCUGGAGACCCAGUAUGAGAGGAUGAGAAGAAGCAGCAGCCGGAGCAACAUCUUCAUUCCUGGGCAAGGCUUCUGCUCCCAUGAUGAAAGGGUUUUGCUUCUUUCUUCUUCUUGGGAUUUCUGUGAUGGCUACUGCCUUUGCC
This 865-nucleotide unclassified non-coding RNA is filed under the name Hevea brasiliensis (rubber tree). Lineage: Eukaryota; Viridiplantae; Streptophyta; Magnoliopsida; Malpighiales; Euphorbiaceae. The record is from RNAcentral.